RNAcentral lists this ribosomal RNA (467 nucleotides) under uncultured bacterium. Its description in RNAcentral is "bacterial SSU rRNA". It matches the Rfam family "Bacterial small subunit ribosomal RNA", at positions 329 to 793 of the family's 1533-position model. The record is from RNAcentral.
UCCCAGACUCCUACGGGAGUCAGCAGUGAGGAAUAUUGGUCAAUUGCCGUAAGGCUGAACCAGCCAAGUAGCUUGAGGUAAGACUGCCCUAUGGGUUGUAAACCUCUUUUAUGCGGUGAUAAAGGUGUCCACUUUUGGAUGUUUGCAGGUACCGCAUGAAUAAGGACCGGCUAAUUCCGUGCCAUCAGCCGCGGUAAUACGGAAGGUCCGGGCGUUAUCCGGAUUUAUUGGGUUUAAAGGGAGCGUAGGCCGGUCUUUAAGCGUGCCGUGAAAUUUUGUGGCUCAACAAUGAGAGUGCGGCGCGAACUGGAGACCUUGAGUGAGAGGAAGGCAGGAGGAAUUCGUGGUGUAGAGGUGAAAUGAUUAGAUAUCACGAAGAAAACCGAUUGAGAAGGAAGCCUGCAGAAGAGUUACUGAAGAUGAAGCUCGAAAGAGAGGGUAUCGAAAAGGAUUAGAUACCCCGGUAU